Lolium perenne is the source of this 1530-nucleotide non-coding RNA. The record is from RefSeq and is a predicted model, not a curated record. Lineage: Eukaryota; Viridiplantae; Streptophyta; Magnoliopsida; Poales; Poaceae.
CGCCGCCGCCUCGCGCCCCCACCCCCGCUCCUGCCCCUUUCUCGUCCCCCGCCGCCACGCCUCGAGCCGCCGCCUCGCGCCCCCGCCGCCUCGCCCGUCCUCCUCUCCGUCCCUCUCCCUCACGUGUGUGUCAGCCGGCGACGCUCCAUCUCCUUCCCCACUCUUCCUUGCCGGUAGGAGGAAGAUGACGCGGGAGCAGCACCUUCUCCGCCGGCGACGCUCCAUCUCCGCCGCCGCGGGAGGAGCAGGUGUGUGCGCCGCGGGUGGAGGCGGCGCUGCCGGUGGUUUCGCGGGCGCGCAGGGGUGGCGCCGCCGGUGGAAGCGCGAGCACGCGGGAGCAGCGCCGCCACGGCUACCGACGGAGGAUCACCGCCGUGUCGCGGGCGCGCGGGAGCGGCGCCGCCGGUAGAGGCGCGAGCACGAGGGAGCAGAACCGGCACUGCAGGUAGCAGAGAAGAUACGUGACUUGAAGUUGAUAUUUGGCAUGAUGGCAUCGACACUUGAGUGCCGAGCUUUCUAAUUAUCUUUGAGCAUGGAGGAAGACGAACUGACAAAUACAAGUGUGAGGCGCACACGUGAUUGUGCUCACUUGUGCAGUAUUGCAAUGGUCAGCGGCAACAUUCCAUGCCGCGUGCAGAUAAAAAAUCUCCAGCACCUAUCAGUUGGUUCCCUCGAGCCCCAGGUGUUGAGAUGCAUAGGUCGGCAAGUCUGUUGGCGUUAAAGGGGUAGGAGGUGUUGUUCAAGUAUGAUGUUGAACAUCAGCAUGCUCUGAGGCUGAUUGGUUCAUACCAUCAGCGCAUAAACCCGAUGGCUGGACUCUCCAGCAAUCCCAUGAGAUGGACAUGUGAGCUGCAUUUGACCGUUGAUUGUUGAUCUUUGUCAAAAACCCAAAACUGAUAACCCUAUAAUAGUUAAUUCAUAUGGUCAGAGGUGUUUUACUUGAACACAGAUUGAUAUAGGAGGUGAAGCAUUUGAACAUUGAAGUCUUCAGAGCAUAAACGCCUGAAAUUAUUGCUGAAGUAAAUCAGGAAGGUUAUCUUGCAGCUUCAUGUGCUAUUUUUUUAUCCUCUGAAAGUAUAUGCAGUAUUAUCAGUGGUGAGCGCACAUUGCACUACUUCAGUGUAGAGAUAAGACAGGAUUGGUUUUCUGAAUGUAUAUCAUGUAAUAUCUAAAUUGGUAGCUACUCCAGCUGUUUUAUGAUUCUGUCUUGCAUUGAAUUACUCUAUUAGUUUUUCUGUGAAUUUAGCUCCUAACACCCAUUGUCUUUUGAGGUGGUUGAGGAUUUGUCUAUACAAGCAAAUGUACCUGUCAGCAAUUGAAGAGGUACCACAGUCGGGUUUUUUUUGCGGCAAGGAAGGUUAUGUUGCAGCUUCAUGUGCUAUGUUUUUAUCCUCUGAAAGUAUGUGCAGUAUUAUCUGAGAUGCUAAUUUGCAUGGAGCGUGCCUCAGUUCUGCUGGCCUCCUCCGCUUAUUCUCUCCUAGCCAAUGGAGCAUAGCACGUAGCAGCGCAGAUCGUAAUGACGCAGGCGAG